Molecule: long non-coding RNA, 292 nt
Organism: Rhincodon typus (whale shark)
Lineage: Eukaryota; Metazoa; Chordata; Chondrichthyes; Orectolobiformes; Rhincodontidae
Exons: 2
Source: RefSeq, a predicted model, not a curated record
CGUAGAUUUCACUGUAAAAGAGUGAUAAAGCAAAAUGUACAUUCAAAUGAAAGACAAAGACACAAUGACCAAGAGCUGGAUCCGGCAGCUGCAUUGACCCAUCCACAAAUCCUAACUCACAUCUCAAGGUUGUCACAGAAUUACACCUCCCAAACUGGAAACCUGUGUGGAAUGGAGAAAAGUGAUUGAGGAUGGUUUUUGAUGCUGUAGAAUCAAUAAAGUCUGGUGCAGAUUGGCAGAGGGGGUCUAUACCAACCCCUGUGUAAAACUGCUGAAUGUCGGUCACAAUUGA